AUUGAACGCUGGGCGGCAUGCCUUACACAUGCAAGUCGAACGGUAACGCGGGGCAACCUGGCGACGAGUGGCGAACGGGUGAGUAAUAUAUCGGAACGUGCCCAGUAGUGGGGGGAUAGCCCGGCGAAAGCCGGAUUAAUACCGCAUACGACCUACGGGUGAAAGGCGGGGGGAGUCGCAAGACCUCGCGCUAUUGGAGCGGCCGAUAUCAGAUUAGGUAGUUGGUGGGGGUAAAGGCCUACCAAGCCUACGAUCUGUAGCUGGUCUGAGAGGACGACCAGCCACACUGGGACUGAGACACGGCCCAGACUCCUAC
This 316-nucleotide ribosomal RNA is filed under the name uncultured bacterium. RNAcentral describes it as "bacterial SSU rRNA". It matches the Rfam family "Bacterial small subunit ribosomal RNA", at positions 30 to 342 of the family's 1533-position model. The record is from RNAcentral.